This is a long non-coding RNA of Pistacia vera, 1486 nucleotides long. RefSeq lists it as uncharacterized. NCBI's taxonomy places the organism in Eukaryota, Viridiplantae, Streptophyta, Magnoliopsida, Sapindales, Anacardiaceae. The transcript is spliced from 6 exons. The record is from RefSeq and is a predicted model, not a curated record.
CUUAAUUUUUCCUUAGCUCUUUAAAAUAGGUGGCUUUAGUGUUUGGGUGAAAACUAUGUGGGCUAUUUUUACUUUUAGGAAUAGUUUUGCUUGUGGAAUCCUUAAUGGAACUUGGAAAGGUACACCGGAGAUGCAUCUAAUUUUACUAGUACUAUGAAUCUAGGGGUAUUUGAGGUUGGCAGCGUUGCCAGAUAUUUUUCUACCACUUAUGCCAUUGGGAAAUCAUGUCUGCAGUUGGUUUAAUGUGAUUAUCCAUCAUCUAACAGACCUUUUAUUUUUAUGGCUAUUGUCUAAGAUGUUGGCAUCCACAAAAUUGUGCAGCUUGCCAAGAAGUAUCAUCCAGAUGCAAAUAAGAAUAAUCCUUUUGCAAAGAGUGAAUUUCAAGAGAUAAGAGAUGCUUAUGAGAUUCUGCAAGAUUCUAAGAAGAGGGCUCAGUAUGACAUGGGUGAAGUAGAGGCUCGGAGAAUGUAGACUAUAAUACUGAUGGUGCAGAGGGGUUUAGAUAUGCUUAUCAAACUCAUUUCUCUGGUUCUUUCCAUAAAAUAUUCUUUGAGGGGAAAGUGGAUGGGCAUCAAAAAACAGUUUCAUAUCAAGAAUCACCAAUAAUGUCUACUUAUUUGGUGGCAGUUGUUAUUGGUUUGUUUGAUUAUGUGGAAGAUCACACAUCUGAUGGUGCUACCUAUUUUCCCUCGCCUUUUUGGCCUUCCAUUAGAAAAUUUCCAGAUGACACUUCCUCACAUACUACAGGGUUCAGCUCAUACUGGUCCAGCUUUAACUCCGGUACAAGUGUUGGUUGCAAUACAUGAAAUUGUUCCUGAGAGAGAUGGCCUUGCACUGAAAAAGGCAUGUCUCUUGUCAUUCUGAACUUAAUGGUCUUGGAACUUUACACUUUGGUUGACUGUGAUGGUGAUCUAUAAACUACACAUUCAGAUCAUACUUAUUCUUUCUAUCACCCUCUUGGUCCGUAACUGUUUUAUUCCUUUUCACCUAAUGGAUUGAUUUUUGUAAUAUGAUGUGCUAAGGCCGGAGAAAGCUUGUCCUAAUUUGUACACAGAGAAAAUAUUCAAACUGGAAUGCGGUUCCCUAGGUUGGGCUUGGUAGAGUAAUUAGUAGAAUUUUGGGGUUGCCCGAUUUGAAGCCAACCUAUUUCAACCAUCGUUGCUUAGUCCAAGCUAAGGCUGGAUUGGUGUCGCUUUAGAUUGUUUAAGUUCUGAUUAAAUAAUAAUGUCAUUAUGUUUGCUAUGUUUGAGGAAAACACUAAAUUGUGUGCUUUUGGAUCUAUGUUUAAUCUUUUACUGUUUUUGAGGAAAGAAAUAUACACAGAUGCAGAGAUCGAUGAAGUUAGAGGAGAAUGGGCAAUGUACGUAUCAAACUUUUUUUAGUUAUAGAUGUUUUCAUUGAUCCUUUUUUUAGUUAUAGAUGUUUUCAUUGAUGCCAAGGCGUUAAUGAGGGAAAAAAAUAUGUAUUAAACUUUUGUUGAAUGAUA